GUAGGGGGCAAGCGUUAUCCGGAUUUACUGGGUGUAAAGGGAGCGCAGACGGCACUGCAAGUCUGAAGUGAAAGCCCGGGGCUCAACCCCGGGACUGCUUUGGAAACUGUAGAGCUAGAGUGCUGGAGAGGCAAGCGGAAUUCCUAGUGUAGCGGUGAAAUGCGUAGAUAUUAGGAAGAACACCAGUGGCGAAGGCGGCUUGCUGGACAGUAACUGACGUUCAGGCUCGAAAGCGUGGGGAGCAAACAGGAUUAGAUACCCUGGUAGUCCACGCUGUAAACGAUGAAUACUAGGUGUUGGUGGGCAAAGCCCAUCGGUGCCGCCGCAAACGCAAUAAGUAUUCCACCUGGGGAGUACGUUCGCAAGAAUG
This 370-nucleotide ribosomal RNA is filed under the name uncultured bacterium. RNAcentral describes it as "bacterial SSU rRNA". It matches the Rfam family "Bacterial small subunit ribosomal RNA", at positions 527 to 896 of the family's 1533-position model. The record is from RNAcentral.